AGAGUUUGAUCAUGGCUCAGAUUGAACGCUGGCGGCAGGCCUAACACAUGCAAGUCGAACGGUAACAGGAAGAAGCUUGCUUCUUUGCUGACGAGUGGCGGACGGGUGAGUAAUGUCUGGGAAACUGCCUGAUGGAGGGGGAUAACUACUGGAAACGGUAGCUAAUACCGCAUAACGUCGCAAGACCAAAGAGGGGGACCUUCGGGCCUCUUGCCAUCGGAUGUGCCCAGAUGGGAUUAGCUAGUAGGUGGGGUAACGGCUCACCUAGGCGACGAUCCCUAGCUGGUCUGAGAGGAUGACCAGCCACACUGGAACUGAGACACGGUCCAGACUCCUACGGGAGGCAGCAGUGGGGAAUAUUGCACAAUGGGCGCAAGCCUGAUGCAGCCAUGCCGCGUGUAUGAAGAAGGCCUUCGGGUUGUAAAGUACUUUCAGCGGGGAGGAAGGGAGUAAAGUUAAUACCUUUGCUCAUUGACGUUACCCGCAGAAGAAGCACCGGCUAACUCCGUGCCAGCAGCCGCGGUAAUACGGAGGGUGCAAGCGUUAAUCGGAAUUACUGGGCGUAAAGCGCACGCAGGCGGUUUGUUAAGUCAGAUGUGAAAUCCCCGGGCUCAACCUGGGAACUGCAUCUGAUACUGGCAAGCUUGAGUCUCGUAGAGGGGGGUAGAAUUCCAGGUGUAGCGGUGAAAUGCGUAGAGAUCUGGAGGAAUACCGGUGGCGAAGGCGGCCCCCUGGACGAAGACUGACGCUCAGGUGCGAAAGCGUGGGGAGCAAAACAGGAUUAGAUACCCUGGUAAUCCACGCCGUAAACGAUGUCGACUUGGAGGUUGUGCCCUUGAGGCGUGGCUUCCGGAGCUAACGCGUUAAGUCGACCGCCUGGGGAGUACGGCCGCAAGGUUAAAACUCAAAUGAAUUGACGGGGGCCCGCACAAGCGGUGGAGCAUGUGGUUUAAUUCGAUGCAACGCGAAGAACCUUACCUGGUCUUGACAUCCACGGAAGUUUUCAGAGAUGAGAAUGUGCCUUCGGGAACCGUGAGACAGGUGCUGCAUGGCUGUCGUCAGCUCGUGUUGUGAAAUGUUGGGUUAAGUCCCGCAACGAGCGCAACCCUUAUCCUUUGUUGCCAGCGGUCCGGCCGGGAACUCAAAGGAGACUGCCAGUGAUAAACUGGAGGAAGGUGGGGAUGACGUCAAGUCAUCAUGGCCCUUACGACCAGGGCUACACACGUGCUACAAUGGCGCAUACAAAGAGAAGCGACCUCGCGAGAGCAAGCGGACCUCAUAAAGUGCGUCGUAGUCCGGAUUGGAGUCUGCAACUCGACUCCAUGAAGUCGGAAUCGCUAGUAAUCGUGGAUCAGAAUGCCACGGUGAAUACGUUCCCGGGCCUUGUACACACCGCCCGUCACACCAUGGGAGUGGGUUGCAAAAGAAGUAGGUAGCUUAACCUUCGGGAGGGCGCUUACCACUUUGUGAUUCAUGACUGGGGUGAAGUCGUAACAAGGUAACCGUAGGGGAACCUGCGGUUG
RNAcentral lists this ribosomal RNA (1523 nucleotides) under metagenome. RNAcentral's name for it is "bacterial SSU rRNA". It matches the Rfam family "Bacterial small subunit ribosomal RNA". The record is from RNAcentral.